GUCGGCGUCUACAGCGAUGAGGGUCCACCUGUUCCCAUUCCGAACACAGAAGUUAAGCUCGUCCGCGGUGAAAAUACUUGGGCGGCGACGCUCCGGUAAGAUAGCUCGGUGCCGACA
This 117-nucleotide ribosomal RNA is filed under the name Oscillospiraceae bacterium. Lineage: Bacteria; Bacillati; Bacillota; Clostridia; Eubacteriales; Oscillospiraceae. The record is from RNAcentral.